AACGUAGGUGGCGAGCGUUAUCCGGAUUUACUGGGCGUAAAGGGUGUGCAGGCGGGUCGUCAAGUGGUGUAUGAAAUCGCCCGGCUCAACCGGGUGGGGUUAUGCCAGACUGACGACCUAGAGACCGAGAGAGGGGCGUGGAAUUCCGGGUGUAGUGGUGAAAUGCGUAGAGAUCCGGAGGAACCCCAGAGGCGAAGGCGGCGCCCUAGCUCGGUUCUGACGCUCAGACACGAAAGCAUGGGGAGCGAACGGG
This 253-nucleotide ribosomal RNA is filed under the name uncultured bacterium. RNAcentral describes it as "partial 16S ribosomal RNA". It matches the Rfam family "Bacterial small subunit ribosomal RNA", at positions 524 to 776 of the family's 1533-position model. The record is from RNAcentral.